Molecule: ribosomal RNA, 433 nt
Filed under: uncultured bacterium
Lineage: Bacteria
Description: partial 16S ribosomal RNA
Rfam family: Bacterial small subunit ribosomal RNA
Source: RNAcentral
AACGAACGCUGGCGGCAUGCCUAACACAUGCAAGUCGAACGAGACCUUCGGGUCUAGUUGCGCACGGGUGCGUAACGCGUGGGAACCUGCCCUUAGGUUCGGAAUAACUCCCCGAAAGGGGUGCUAAUACCGGUUAAUGUCUUCGGACCAAAGAUUUAUCGCCUUUGGAUGGGCCCGCGUUGGAUUAGCUAGUUGGUAGGGUAAAAGCCUACCAAGGCGACGAUCCAUAGCUGGUCUGAGAGGAUGAUCAGCCACAAUGGGACUGAGACACGGCCCAGACUCCUACGGGAGGCAGCAGUGGGGAAUAUUGGACAAUGGGCGAAAGCCUGAUCCAGCAAUGCCGCGUGAGUGAUGAAGGCCUUAGGGUUGUAAAGCUCUUUUAGCCGGGAUGAUAAUGACAGUACCGGGAGAAUAAGCUCCGGCUAACUCCGUG